GACGAACGCUGGCGGCGUGCCUAAUACAUGCAAGUUGAGCGCUGAAGGUUGGUCCUUGUACCAACUGGAUGAGCAGCGAACGGGUGAGUAACGCGUGGGGAAUCUGCCUUUGAGCGGGGGACAACAUUUGGAAACGAAUGCUAAUACCGCAUAAAAACUUUAAACACAAGUUUUAAGUUUGAAAGAUGCAAUUGCAUCACUCAAAGAUGAUCCCGCGUUGUAUUAGCUAGUUGGUGAGGUAAAGGCUCACCAAGGCGAUGAUACGUAGCCGACCUGAGAGGGUGAUCGGCCACAUUGGGACUGAGACACGGCCCAAACUCCUACGGGAGGCAGCAGUAGGGAAUCUUCGGCAAUGGACGAAAGUCUGACCGAGCAACGCCGCGUGAGUGAAGAAGGGUUUCGGAUCGUAAAACUCUGUUGGUAGAGAAGAACGUUGGUGAGAGUGGAAAGCUCAUCAAGUGACGGUAACUACCCAGAAAGGGACGGCUAACUACGUG
Molecule: ribosomal RNA, 497 nt
Filed under: uncultured bacterium
Lineage: Bacteria
Description: partial 16S ribosomal RNA
Rfam family: Bacterial small subunit ribosomal RNA
Source: RNAcentral